This is an RNA transcript of Episyrphus balteatus (marmalade hoverfly), 3659 nucleotides long. It is a transcript of the gene named protein teashirt, with no coding region annotated. The record is from RefSeq and is a predicted model, not a curated record. The transcript has 3 exons. Lineage: Eukaryota; Metazoa; Arthropoda; Insecta; Diptera; Syrphidae.
UUAUAAUAGUGAUAUAAGAAACAACAACAAAAAUUUAAACAAAAAAAUCAGUGAUUUAAAAUAAAAUUAUUUUAGUUGUGAACUCUAAAAGCUAAAAAAUUAAAUUAACUUAGAAUUUUAAAUAAUUUAAUAAAACAAAAAAUAAAUUCAACAAAAUGUUACACGAAGCAUUGAUGUUAGAAAUCUACAGACAAGCAUUAAAUGCUGGUGCUCUUCCCAAUCCACGUCCCCGAUCAACUGAAUCGGCAAAUUCCAGUGAACGUUGCCCGUCGCACGAUUCAACGUCAUCCGCCGAAAAUGGCAGUGCCAGUGGCAAUGCCUCCAAUAUGCAUCCAAUUUCCCCAAACUCUGCAUUUCCAACAAUGAUUCCACCCUCGCCAAAUAGCAAUUCAUCAUCCCACCAUCAUCAUCACCUGCAGCAACAACAACACCACCAUCAGCAGCAACAACAACAACACCACCAGCAACAACAUCAUCAUCAACAACCACCACCGUCCAUGGAAGCAUACCUGCAUAUGGUUGCAGCUGCAGCUCAACAAUACGCCCAAUUUCCACUUGUCGGUGGUGGCCGAAUGCCAAUGCCAAUACCACCAGCAGCCACAGCUGAUCCACACUUUAAGCUGCCACCACAAGCAUCGCCAACUGCAUCCAGCAUCAAAUCCGAAGCAUUGGACUUUCGAACAAACUUCAAGCGAUCCUCAUCGGAUGAUGAAGAAGAUGAAGUAGAUGAUCCGGAAGAAAUGGAAGAUAUCCAAGAAGAUGGUAAUCCACUUGAUUUGUCAACCAGCUCGCGCAAACGAAGUGCCGAUGAAGAUCAAGAUUCACCCGCUCAAAUUGCACAUCAAACCAAAAAGUUGUACAAAGGUACACCACCGCCAACAACGCCACCAGCACCAGUUACACCAUCAUCAGCUCCUUUAAUGCCAACCGUUAAUCCAUACCUUGCAGCUGUUGCGGCAGCAAACAUAUUCCAAAACGGUCCAUUCCCGUCGGGUGGCUGGAAUGGCAAGAAUGACUUGGUCAUUGAUCCAACAAGUUGCUUGGAAAAAAUGACGGAUCUCGUGAAGGGACCUCGCAAAGAGAAAUCUCCCCGCCAACAAACUCCAGUGCCACCAGCUCCACCAGCAGCUGCUCCCAUUCCAUCAGGUGAAGGUGUAAUGGCUUCGAAAGGGCGACACAAUAUAUGGCAGUCGCAUUGGCAGAAUAAAGGCGUCGCAAGUAGUGUGUUCCGUUGCGUUUGGUGCAAACAAAGUUUUGCAACUCUCGAGGCCCUUACAACCCACAUGAAAGACAGCAAACAUUGUGGCGUCAAUGUUCCUCCUUUCAGCAAUCUUCCAAAUACUGAACGGCCCCCGCAACAGCCUCAGAUGCAAAAUCAUCAGCAAAUGCGAAAGCCUUCUUCGCAACAACCAAUGCAAUCUAAGUCGAACUAUAGUAAUUAUUCAAACCGGGAUCCCAACACUCCAUUGCCAAGAAAACUCGUCCGAGGGCAGAACGUCUGGCUGGGUAAAGGCGUCGAGCAAGCUAUGCAGAUUCUCAAGUGCAUGCGAUGCGGGGAGAGCUUCCGAUCACUGGGCGAGAUGACCAAACACAUGCAGGAAACUCAGCAUUAUACGAAUAUUUUGUCCCAGGAACAAACAAUUUCCAUGAAGUCUUCGGGAAAUAAUCUCGGGGGAGAUGGAAAAGAUGCCAUGAGUUCGGAGGAAAGUCGCACUUUGAGUGCAGUACUAACCUGCAAAGUUUGCGAUAAAGCAUUCUCAUCUCUGGGAGACCUUAGCAAUCAUAUGGCCAAAAACAAUCACUACGCUGAACCUCUGAUGCAAUCUAUGUCUGGAGCUGGAGCUGCAGGACGCAAGCGUCAAGUUCAGAAGAAACGUGAAAAGUCUCUGCCAGUUCGGAAACUGCUCGAAAUGAAAGGUGCAGCUGCCGCACAUGCUGAUGCAGUUGAUGCCAUGGAGGCCAAGAUGAACCGAAAUGAAAAAAUGGAAGCUGCGAUGUUUGCCGAACGCAUGCGCCAGUACAUUUGUGGGGUUAAAGCCGAAACAGGCGCUGAAGAGAUCAAUAAGUCCCCAAUCAUGCUGAAAAAGUCCCCGGAGCAAGAGGUCAAGAACGGUACAGCAAAGCCGGGCUCAUCAUCUGUCCUCAGUGCAAUUGAACAGAUGUUCACUACAAGCUUUGACACUCCCACACGCCAUAAUAACGCUCCACAACCAGUGAAUGCAACCAACAAGAAUACAUCGCCAGUUGCAUCGAGCAUCCUUAAACGUCUGGGAAUUGAUGAAACCGUCGAUUAUAACAAACCUCUUAUGGACAUUCAAGAUCCCUACUAUCACCAUUAUGCUCGCUAUACCAGCAGCGAACGCAGCGCCAGUGAGUGCAGCGCCGACAACCAUGAAGUUCCCAAAGCCAAAGCUCGAUCUGAAACUCCGGAAAAGCCAGAGCCGAAUCUUCUUCCGAUCAAAAAAGAAGAACCGGAAGAGAAGGAGAACUCCGAAGAAGAAGACAGACAUGAAGAGAAGCCCAAAAUUCCAUCACAAGCUUCGACUCCAAAUGGAGAGCUUAAUCUAUCGACCACCGAUAGAAAUCAUGAAGCUAGUCCUAAGGCAGCUGCUAGUCCAGAAAGCAAUCGAUCUGGAACACCAAAAUCUCCAGCCUCUAGCCAGAAGUCAUUCGGCGGUGAUGGUGAGAAGAAAUAUCCAAGUGACAGCUUAAACGCUCUAUCCUCGAUGUUUGAUUCGUUGAGCAGUGUCGGAAGUGGUCGAUCCCAACAGCAGCAACAACAACAACAACAACAACAACAACAGCAACAAAUUGUCAAAUCUGAGGAAUCACUAUCGGCGGCUUCAAACUCUUUGGCCGCCCUCCGACAAUUCUGCGAUCAAAAAGAGAAAACCGCAUAAAAUUUCGACAAAUCAUUCAAACCAUCAAUAACGUCGACAUCGCUACGGUCGAUAAGUUUAGCUUUGGAAUCCGGUCGCCAUAUCGGCGACCGCAGUAAAGACUCGUUGCCAGAGUCUAAAGAUGCUACGGAACGGGCCAUCACAAAUCGGUGUAAUGCGGUCGCCGGAUUGGCAGCCGGGCAUCAUAAUAUUAAUCAUCGCUAUCGCCUUCGUCAUCGUAAAAGCAGCAGCAUCAUUGACCAACAUCAACAAGAAGAGGUGAUGAUGCAUCAGCCAAACGAAUUGGGACGGCGAAAGCGACCGGGCUGAUUUGAGGAGCGGUAGAGAAAAGUUUAAAAAAACAAAAUAAUAACAAAAAAAAAAAAAACAUAAGCAACUUCGCCGCACGGGAACAAAUUCAAUGAGGAAUCUUCCUAGAAAUUCGCCUGAUAUUGAGAUACAAGCACAAAUUCUUACAAAAUAACAAAAAAAACAAAUUACUAUGAACUGGAUCUUUGAAAACCCAAAACAUAAACCGAAAAAAACUACUUUCACAAUAAAUCUUUUUGAUGAAAAUGAAGAACUUCAAGCCAAGACGAUGUGUUGAAUUCCUGAACCAAUGGAUCUUACGAAUGUAUGGAACUUUAUGGAUUCUUGGAGAAACAACCAAAAUUGAAGUCAACUUUGGGCUGCUGAAGAAGAAACAACAUGAUGCAGCCUCAGCCCUUUUUAGGGCUCCAAAUGCUUCAUUAAAGAGAUACAAACUUAAAUUACACUAAA